This 1256-nucleotide long non-coding RNA is filed under the name Equus caballus (horse). RNAcentral describes it as "lncRNA (ENSECAG00000049786.1)". Lineage: Eukaryota; Metazoa; Chordata; Mammalia; Perissodactyla; Equidae. The record is from RNAcentral.
CUGUGGAAGAUGCUCUGUGAUUCCUUCUGAUGUACUUGCUUUAGGACUGGCACUGCCUGGCCUGAAUCUGCCCUCUGACUGCCUGAUUACCCUCAGCUUUUCCCUCUCGUCUAAAUGAAGAUUACGGAUGAAAGUUUGGUCACCUGCGUGGAUCAGUGGGAUUAGAGACAUCUAAGCAAAUGAAAAUAAGAAAGACAAGCAGAGAAACAACAAACAAAAAGAACUCCAUCAUUGAAUCUGAAGGGUCAGUGGAAAGGUCAGCCUAGGAGUAUAUCGUUUGGAGUCUUUAAAUGCUUUUCCAAGUAGAAGGAAACGAAGAGGUGGACAAUGUUUCUCAGACUGAGGAAUCAAAGUGGAUCAUCUGCGGCAGUGGUAGUAUUUGCAGGUGGAGUCACUGAGCUUUCGAGAGGUCAAUCUUCCCUUGGCCCUGCCAUUGUUGGAGGCGGCCAUCAGACAAGCUCUUAAUGCCUGACUCUGCCUCAAAGCUCUUAUGUAUGGUUAUCAAGAUGCAUUUUCACAGAACGGAGCUCAAUAUAUAUCCAGGAAUAACAGAAACAUUGGACCAUGAAGAUAGGCCCCACCUGGACUUUCACUGGAACACUUUUCUAGUUGAAAUAAAUAGUGAAGACAUUCCUCAGUCCCAUGUGAAGCCUCCACAGCCCUAGAUCGACUCAGCAUCCAUAGUGAGGAUUCAAAGGGAAAUGGCACAACACGCAGAGUUUGAUUCAAUUGAGACGACUUCUACCUGGAAACCCACUCUGACCCCAAUGGUGGUAAAGAAGACCAUUAAGAAUUCUGAGAUCUGUCAAAUUUCUGGGAGAUGAAUGGUAGUGCACAGCAUAAUCUGGCAACCAAGAGAGUGAAAAUAAUAAUAAUAAUAAUACCCUUUAUAUGUACAGAAAAUUAAGGCUUAAUAAAUUUGCUGAAGAAUGAGGAAGAGGAGGAAGAGGAGCAGAAGAGGAAGAAGAAAGGAAGAAGCGACUUUCUAGAGACCAUCCAGCUGGGAUUCCAACUCAGGUUUUGCAGCUUUGGCUCUGAAACCCGUGCUCUUUCCAGAGGCACACACAUAUGGAAAAGGAAGAAGGCUCCAGCCCAGGACAACUGAACACUGUGACUUUCCCACUCUCAGUAGGGACCUAAAGGGAAGAAACUUCUGAAGGGACAUUGAAGGAGCAGUUACGUAGAGAACAAGCCCUUUUAUUACAACUUACACUGGAUCUCCUUCUUGCCCUAAAGAAGCCAUUGACAUCAACCUG